Molecule: ribosomal RNA, 441 nt
Filed under: uncultured bacterium
Lineage: Bacteria
Description: partial 16S ribosomal RNA
Rfam family: Bacterial small subunit ribosomal RNA
Source: RNAcentral
CCUACGGGUGACAGCAGUGGGGAAUAUUGGACAAUGGGGGAAACCCUGAUGCAGCCAAGCCGCGUGAGUGAAGACGUCUUUCGGUGUGUUAAGCUCUAUCUGUAGAAACGUGAAGUGACGCUACCUGGCUUAGAAGCACCGGCUAACUACGUGACAGCAGCCGCGGUAAUACGUAGGGGGCAAGCGUUAUCCGGAGUCCCUGGGUGUAAAGGGAGCGUAGAGGGGUGGUGAAGCCAGAAGUGAAAGGCGGGGGCUCAACCCUAGGAUUGCAUUGGGAACUGUACGGCUGGAGUGCAGGAGAGGUAAGUGGAAUUCCUAGUGUAGCGGUGAAAUGCUUAGAUAUUACGAGGAACACCAGUGGCGAAGGCGGCUUACUAGACUGCAACUGACGUUGAGGCUCGAAAGCGUGGGUAGCAAACAGGAUUAGAUACCCUUGUAGUC